CAGUCGCCACGGUAAUACGUAGGGUGCAAGCGUUAAUCGGAAUUACUGGGCGUAAAGCGUGCGCAGGCGGUGUUGUAAGACUGAUGUGAAAUCCCCGGGCUCAACCUGGGAACUGCAUUGGUGACUGCAACGCUGGAGUGCGGCAGAGGGGGAUGGAAUUCCGCGUGUAGCAGUGAAAUGCGUAGAUAUGCGGAGGAACACCGAUGGCGAAGGCGGCCAUCUGGGACAACACUGACGCUGAGGCACGAAAGCGUGGGGAGCAAACAGGAUUAGAUACCCGCGUAGUCCCUGUCUCUUAUAA
Molecule: ribosomal RNA, 301 nt
Filed under: uncultured bacterium
Lineage: Bacteria
Description: partial 16S ribosomal RNA
Rfam family: Bacterial small subunit ribosomal RNA
Source: RNAcentral